Molecule: unclassified non-coding RNA, 331 nt
Filed under: air metagenome
Description: partial contains small subunit ribosomal RNA, internal transcribed spacer 1, and 5.8S ribosomal RNA
Rfam family: Eukaryotic small subunit ribosomal RNA (bases 1-46)
Source: RNAcentral
AAGUCGUAACAAGGUUUCCGUAGGUGAACCUGCGGAAGGAUCAUUAUUGAAUGUAUUCAAGGAGGUUGAUGCUGGCUUCAAAUUUUGAAGUAUGUGCUCGUCUCUUUGACUUACUAUUUUCCCCCUCUGUGCACCUUUUGUAGUUUCUUGAGUUCUCUAGUUGUCAGGUUGAGUAACGAAUGUAAAAAGUUUGUGAAAGGCUUUUCAAUAUUGGAGUUCUCAAGUCUCUAUGUUAUAUCAAACCCUUUUGUAUGUUAUAGAAUGUCUUUUUACUGGUUUGUAACGAACCUUUAAAUCAAUACAACUUUCAGCAACGGAUCUCUUGGCUCUC